This is a non-coding RNA of Pelobates cultripes (western spadefoot toad), 726 nucleotides long. The record is from the annotation of a GenBank genome assembly. Lineage: Eukaryota; Metazoa; Chordata; Amphibia; Anura; Pelobatidae.
GUGCUCCCUGCAGGGUCCUAGUGCCCUAAACAUAGCUCAACCACAACUUAUUAUGUGCUUUCUCUAUGUUUGUUGUGGAUAGUUCCCUGGUGUCUGCAAAAGUGGGACAUCAGGGAACUAAGGUGGGAAAAUCAAGACUGUCCUGCUGAAGUUGGGACGGUUGGGAGGUAUUUUUUUUAACUACAGUUUGUUUUUGUUUGUGAAUCAAAGUUUAUUAAGUAUUCAUAUAUCAAACACAGCAUGAAGGACAAUGCCAUAAAAUUGUCAACAUAACACAUCCCAUAUACUAUAUAUAGCAACAGCAGAAGGGAGAAAUAUGGCGGGGGGGAAAGUGGAAAAGGAAUGUUAGAAAAAGAGAAGAAAAUGGAACUAUAUUGUAACGGAGUAAACUUGCAGAAGCCAGACACAGAGAGAUGGAUGCAGGUUUUCAGGAAGUAAGAGGUCUUUAUUAACAUACCGAUCGGGUCUCAGAUGAACUAACGUUCCAAAACAGGUCUGAGGGCCGAACACAUGGAGUACAUGCUUUUUAUAGAACUAUAACUCCCCCCAUUAGUAGCUCCAUCCGCACAUACCCUUAACCAAUCGGUGGACAGGAUUUGGAUUUCCUUAUAUGGGCAGACCACAUGGCUCAUCCGAAACAAAGGAGAAAGAAAUGUGAUUUCAGUUCCUGCAUUCCUGCACAUGCUCAGUACAUUGAUGACAGUAUCUUAGCUACGUGUAACUAAC